RNAcentral lists this ribosomal RNA (1657 nucleotides) under Pseudomonas sp. 102515. Its description in RNAcentral is "partial 23S ribosomal RNA". It matches the Rfam family "Bacterial large subunit ribosomal RNA", at positions 592 to 2236 of the family's 2925-position model. The record is from RNAcentral. Lineage: Bacteria; Pseudomonadati; Pseudomonadota; Gammaproteobacteria; Pseudomonadales; Pseudomonadaceae.
GGUGACUGCGUACCUUUUGUAUAAUGGGUCAGCGACUUAUUUUCAGUGGCGAGCUUAACCGAAUAGGGGAGGCGUAGCGAAAGCGAGUCUUAAUAGGGCGUUUAGUCGCUGGGAAUAGACCCGAAACCGGGCGAUCUAUCCAUGAGCAGGUUGAAGGUUAGGUAACACUGACUGGAGGACCGAACCCACUUCCGUUGAAAAGGCAGGGGAUGACUUGUGGAUCGGAGUGAAAGGCUAAUCAAGCUCGGAGAUAGCUGGUUCUCCUCGAAAGCUAUUUAGGUAGCGCCUCAUGUAUCACUCUGGGGGGUAGAGCACUGUUUCGGCUAGGGGGUCAUCCCGACUUACCAAACCGAUGCAAACUCCGAAUACCCAGAAGUGCCGAGCAUGGGAGACACACGGCGGGUGCUAACGUCCGUCGUGAAAAGGGAAACAACCCAGACCGUCAGCUAAGGUCCCAAAGUCCUGGUUAAGUGGUAAACGAUGUGGGAAGGCUUAGACAGCUAGGAGGUUGGCUUAGAAGCAGCCACCCUUUAAAGAAAGCGUAAUAGCUCACUAGUCGAGUCGGCCUGCGCGGAAGAUGUAACGGGGCUCAAACCAGGCACCGAAGCUACGGGUAUCACCUUUGGUGAUGCGGUAGAGGAGCGUUCUGUAAGCCUGUGAAGGUGAGUUGAGAAGCUUGCUGGAGGUAUCAGAAGUGCGAAUGCUGACAUGAGUAACGACAAUGCGAGUGAAAAACUCGCACGCCGAAAGACCAAGGGUUCCUGCGCAACGUUAAUCGACGCAGGGUGAGUCGGUCCCUAAGGCGAGGCUGAAAGGCGUAGUCGAUGGGAAACGGGUUAAUAUUCCCGUACUUCUAGUUACUGCGAUGGGGGGACGGAGAAGGCUAGGCCAGCUUGGCGUUGGUUGUCCAAGUUUAAGGUGGUAGGCUGACUGUUUAGGUAAAUCCGGACGGUCAAGGCCGAGAGCUGAUGACGAUCCUUCUUUUAGAAGGAGAAGUGGUUGAUGCCAUGCUUCCAGGAAAAGCCUCUAAGCUUCAGGUAACUAGGAACCGUACCCCAAACCGACACAGGUGGUCGGGUAGAGAAUACCAAGGCGCUUGAGAGAACUCGGGUGAAGGAACUAGGCAAAAUGGCACCGUAACUUCGGGAGAAGGUGCGCCGGUGAGGGUGAAGGGUUUACCCCGUAAGCUCAUGCCGGUCGAAGAUACCAGGCCGCUGCGACUGUUUAUUAAAAACACAGCACUCUGCAAACACGAAAGUGGACGUAUAGGGUGUGACGCCUGCCCGGUGCCGGAAGGUUAAUUGAUGGGGUUAGCGCAAGCGAAGCUCUUGAUCGAAGCCCCGGUAAACGGCGGCCGUAACUAUAACGGUCCUAAGGUAGCGAAAUUCCUUGUCGGGUAAGUUCCGACCUGCACGAAUGGCGUAACGAUGGCGGCGCUGUCUCCACCCGAGACUCAGUGAAAUUGAAAUCGCUGUGAAGAUGCAGUGUAUCCGCGGCUAGACGGAAAGACCCCGUGAACCUUUACUGUAGCUUUGCACUGGACUUUGAGCUUGCUUGUGUAGGAUAGGUGGGAGGCUUUGAAGCGUGGACGCCAGUCUGCGUGGAGCCAUCCUUGAAAUACCACCCUGGCAAUCUUGAGGUUCUAACUCUGGUCCGU